GAACCAUCGAGUCUUUGAACGCAAGUUGCACCCGAAGCCACUAGGUCGAAGGCACGCUUGCAUGGGCGUCACGCGCCGUUGCCCCCCCUCGCCUCCCUCGGGAGCGUCGGCGAGUGGAUGAUGGCCUCUCACGCACCACCUCGCGCGGUUGGCACAAAUGCCGAGCCCCCGGCGAUGAACGCCACGACAAUUGGUGGUCGUCGAACCUCAGUUGCCUGUUGUUCGCUUUCGCAGCACUCCGGGCGGNUCAUGACCCCAGCAACAGCUCUGCUUCGGCGGAGUUCUUCAACGCGACCCCAGGUCAGGCGGGGUUACCCGCUGAA
Molecule: ribosomal RNA, 323 nt
Filed under: Crataegus gaylussacia
Lineage: Eukaryota; Viridiplantae; Streptophyta; Magnoliopsida; Rosales; Rosaceae
Description: eukaryotic LSU rRNA
Source: RNAcentral